GAUGAACGCUGGCGGCGUGCCUAAUACAUGCAAGUCGAACGAACAGACGAUGAGCUUGUUCCUCUGUCGUUAGCGGCGGACGGGUGAGUAACACGUGGAUAACCUACCUAUAAUACUGGUAUAAUUUCGGGAAAGCGGAGCAAAUACCGGAUAAUAUAUUGAACCGCAUGGUUCAAUAGUAAAAGACGGUUUUGCUGUCACUUAUAGAUGGAUCCGCGCCGCAUUAGCUAGUUGGUAAGGUAACCGCUUUCCAAGGCUACGAUGCGUAGCCGACCUGAGAGGCGGAUAGCCCACCCGAGAAGUGAACCAGCGUCAAAGCUACUAAGGUAGGCCGCAGUCGGGAAUCUUACGCAAUAGGCGUGAGUAUGACGCAGCGAAGCCAAGCGAGUGAUGACAGCUUUGUGAUCGUAAAACCCUCUUAUUAGGGAAGAACCACUGUGUCAGGAACUAAGCCCGUCUUGACGGUAAUUAAUAAGAAAGCAACGGCUAACUACGUG
This 497-nucleotide ribosomal RNA is filed under the name uncultured bacterium. RNAcentral's name for it is "partial 16S ribosomal RNA". It matches the Rfam family "Bacterial small subunit ribosomal RNA", at positions 28 to 507 of the family's 1533-position model. The record is from RNAcentral.